AUUGAACGCUGGCGGCAGGCCUAACACAUGCAAGUCGAACGAGUGGCGGACGGGUGAGUCAUGUCUGGGAAACUGCCCGAUGGAGGGGGAUAACUACUGGAAACGGUAGCUAAUACCGACUACACUCGGAUGUGCCCAGAUGGGAUUGGCUAGUAGGCGGGGUAAGGGCUCACCUAGGCGACGAUCCCUGGCUGGUCUGAGAGGAUGACCAGCCACACUGGAACUGAGAAACGGUCCAGACGCCUACGGGAGGCAGCAGUGGGGAAUAUUGCACAAUGGGCGCAAGCCUGAUGCAGCCAUGCCGCGUGUAUGAAGAAGGCCUUCGGGUUGUAAAGUACUUUCAGCGAGGAGGCGUUACUCGCAGAAGAAGCACCGGCUAACUCCGUGCCAGCAGCCGCGGUAAUUC
This 406-nucleotide ribosomal RNA is filed under the name uncultured bacterium. RNAcentral's name for it is "partial 16S ribosomal RNA". It matches the Rfam family "Bacterial small subunit ribosomal RNA", at positions 30 to 526 of the family's 1533-position model. The record is from RNAcentral.